This 488-nucleotide ribosomal RNA is filed under the name uncultured bacterium. RNAcentral describes it as "partial 16S ribosomal RNA". It matches the Rfam family "Bacterial small subunit ribosomal RNA", at positions 28 to 507 of the family's 1533-position model. The record is from RNAcentral.
GACGAACGCUGGCGGCGUGCUUAACACAUGCAAGUCGAACGGAAAGGCGCUGCGCUUGCGGGGUGCUCGAGUGGCGAACGGGUGUGUAACACGUGAGUAACAUGCCCCUGUCAUUGUGAUAACUUCAGGAAACUCGGGCGAAUACCGGAUAUGAGCUACUGCAGCGUGGGGGUGGUUGGAAAGUGUCGGCGGUUGUGGCUGGUAUCGCGGGUUAGCAGCUUGUUGGUGAGGUAAUGGCUUACCAAGGUGUUGACGGGUAGCCCACCUGAGAGGGUGAUGGGCGACACGGGAAGUGAGACACGGACCUGAGUACUAAGGGAGGGAGCAGUCGGGAAUCUGAGGCAAUGGGGGAAAGCCUGACGGAACGACGGGGAGCGAGUGACGAAGGUCUUGGGAUCGUAAAGCUCUGUUAUGAGUGAAGAACAAAUGUGUAAGUAACUAUGCACGUAUUGACGGUACCUGAUAAGAAAGCACCGGCUAACUACGUG